ACGCUGCCGCCCGCCUCGCAACCGCCGCCUACUGGCGACCGCAACAUCUUCGAGGGCGACGGACUCUACGCCGGCCAUGAUCAAUAUUCGGACCCCCUACUAGCCUGGAGCUCGGUUGACUUGGAACCAGUGCAGUCGACAAGCCGUGGUUAUGGUGCCAGCUCUUCUUCAUACGUGCAGGUUGAAACUCGGUACAACGAACGUACAAAUCAGACGAGCUCGCACACAACUGCUAGCCGACCGCCAUG
Molecule: long non-coding RNA, 248 nt
Organism: Melitaea cinxia (Glanville fritillary)
Lineage: Eukaryota; Metazoa; Arthropoda; Insecta; Lepidoptera; Nymphalidae
Exons: 3
Source: RefSeq, a predicted model, not a curated record